AGGACGAACGCUGGCGGCGUGCUUAACACAUGCAAGUCGAGCGGAAAGGCCCGUUCGGGGUACUCGAGCGGCGAACGGGUGAGUAACACGUGAGUAAUCUGCCCCUAGCUCUGGGAUAGCUCCGGGAAACCGGGAUUAAUACCGGAUGCGACUCCUUCGGACAUCUGAAGGAGUGGAAAGAUUUAUCGGCUAGGGAUGAGCUCGCGGCCUAUCAGCUUGUGGUGGGGUAACGCCUACCAAGGCGACGACGGGUA
Molecule: ribosomal RNA, 254 nt
Filed under: uncultured bacterium
Lineage: Bacteria
Description: partial small subunit ribosomal RNA
Rfam family: Bacterial small subunit ribosomal RNA
Source: RNAcentral